This is a long non-coding RNA of Anopheles funestus (African malaria mosquito), 1417 nucleotides long. RefSeq lists it as uncharacterized. The record is from RefSeq and is a predicted model, not a curated record. Lineage: Eukaryota; Metazoa; Arthropoda; Insecta; Diptera; Culicidae. The transcript has 3 exons.
UUUUCGUCCUGAAAGCGGUCACCCUCGCAGGGGGGAAGGGUUGUCGGUAACAAAGAAAAGCUCGGCGCAUUUACGUCCACAGCUUCCGGUUGUGUUGUGAAAACGGUUUCUUCGUCGUGUGGAAUCGCGACGACGACGAUGGCACCAUGGUGAAGCUAAUGUGACAACCGAUCGACCGACCGACCGAGUGCGGUUAUGUGAGUAGGAAAGAAGAUCAGCGUUCAACCGAGCGGGAGAGAUAAAGCUGUGGUGUUUGCGUACGUGUGUGUGUGUUCCUUCCUAUCUAGUGUGUACUGUGUGAAAAUAAAACGAGAGAGAGAGAGAGAGAGAGAGUUAGAGAGAGAACCUGCUGAACCGUUAGCCUGGCGGCAAGUGCGAGACAGCCGCAUCGCGGAAGAAAUCGUGGGAAAAAUAUUAUAAAAUUCAAAAUAAAGCAGCACACCUUCGGCUGGGUGGGUUUUGCUGUCCUGUGUGUGUGUAUGAGUGUAUGUGUGUGUGUAUCUGUGGCGAUAAUAAAAUCGCGUUUUUCAACCCCGGCAGAAAACUGAGUUUGGAUAAUUUAAGUACCCGGUUCCCGGUGCAUGGUGGAGCAGUGAAAAACCGUGGAAUACGACGGAAGCGACAAGCGGUGUAAUCUACAUACCAAUAACAUACAACUUUACCCCCACUUUUUUAUCGGUGUUGUACGUUGUUUCGCAUUUAUUAGCAAACGGCAGCAGUAGCAAAAAACGGCGAAAGGAUACAUAUUACUUCUUACACUACAUCGAGCGAGAACGAAACAAUUAAGCUACGAACAGCAGCAGCAAAUAUAAAAGGUUUUCCAGUAAUAUAUAGUCACAUAAAGGUAGUAGCAGUAAAAGAAUCACAAUCUCCACCACUCACACACGCGUAUAUUAGCUUCUACUAAUCAAUAUUAUUAUUACUACUGUUAUUGUAAAGCGUUCGUACAAAACUAAACCGAACGAUCGGCUCAUACGUAUAUCCCGUAACGGUUGAGGGGUUUUGUGUAUAUUUCAAUAAUUCAUCAGCUCCAGUCACCGAACCGAAAGACGCCCCAGCUGCUAUACACCCGUUGAUGGUGCCAAAAAAAACGGUCGGCGCUCUUCAUAUUUGCUGUUAAAUAUUCGUAAGAGCGUAGGCCAUCGGAUUACCACCUCCAGACUAGACGCAUCCAUCCAGGAAAUCCGCCAGCAAAGGUGAAAGAUUGGAAAAUUUAACCUCUCCAACUUCCUACGCGCACAAGCGUAAGGCUAACAAAAGCACGCUGGUUGUAUGAAAACAAACCCAACAGAAAACAUUGCUUGAAGGAGUAAUAAGUGUUAAUACCUCUAAGGUACGUGUGGGACAAGAACGGACACAAGAAGAAGAAGGGAAAAAAUAAAUCCUUUUUCGAUGAAACGAAGCACAGCACUGUGAG